Molecule: transfer RNA, 82 nt
Filed under: Echinostoma caproni
Lineage: Eukaryota; Metazoa; Platyhelminthes; Trematoda; Plagiorchiida; Echinostomatidae
Rfam family: tRNA
About the family: Transfer RNA (tRNA) molecules are approximately 80 nucleotides in length. Their secondary structure includes four short double-helical elements and three loops (D, anti-codon, and T loops).
Source: Rfam by way of RNAcentral
GGCCUCGUAGCUCAGCCGGUAGAGCAUGCGCGUACAAAGCGUAGGCCGCGUCCAGGCGUGGAUUCGAAUCUCACCGAGGAUA